UAUUACCUACUUGGUACGUGACCCCUUGUUUUUUUAACCUACAAAUGUAAUUCGGGAGCAUCAGAUCCGGUUGUCUAUGUCAGGCCGCCACGGGCGGAAGACAGACGCAGCUGGUCGGCACCCACCUGGGAGAGGUGGGUUGAUAAAAAAACUGGUGGGUAACGGCCCGGUGGGAAAGAC
This 180-nucleotide non-coding RNA is filed under the name Desulfoscipio gibsoniae DSM 7213. RNAcentral's name for it is "Desulfotomaculum gibsoniae DSM 7213 6S / SsrS RNA". It matches the Rfam family "6S / SsrS RNA". Rfam says of the family: E. coli 6S RNA was the first non coding RNA to be sequenced, but its function was unknown until recently. It consists of 184 nucleotides that fold into an extended hairpin structure with a large single-stranded internal bulge. Lineage: Bacteria; Bacillati; Bacillota; Clostridia; Eubacteriales; Desulfallaceae. The record is from Rfam by way of RNAcentral.